This 321-nucleotide ribosomal RNA is filed under the name uncultured eukaryote. RNAcentral's name for it is "partial 18S ribosomal RNA". It matches the Rfam family "Eukaryotic small subunit ribosomal RNA", at positions 1470 to 1796 of the family's 1831-position model. The record is from RNAcentral.
CCCUUAGAUGUUCUGGGCCGCACGCGCGCUACACUGAUGCAUUCAACGAGCCUAUCCUUGACCGACAGGUCCGGGUAAUCUUUGAAUCUGCAUCGUGACGGGGAUAGAUUAUUGCAAUUAUUAAUCUUCAACGAGGAAUGCCUAGUAGGCGCAAGUCAUCAGCUUGCGUCGAUUACGUCCCUGCCCUUUGUACACACCGCCCGUCGCUCCUACCGAUUGAAUGUUUCGGUGAGCUCUUCGGACUGCGCGGUCUGCAGUUUCUGCGUUCCGUGCGGAAAGUUGCGCAAACCUUAACAUUUAGAGGAAGGAGAAGUCGUAACA